UACGAAGGGGGCUAGCGUUGCUCGGAAUCACUGGGCGUAAAGCGCACGUAGGCGGGUCCUUAAGUCGGGGGUGAAAUCCUGGAGCUCAACUCCAGAACUGCCUUCGAUACUGAGGAUCUCGAGUCCGGGAGAGGUGAGUGGAACUCCGAGUGUAGAGGUGAAAUUCGUAGAUAUUAGGAAGAACACCAGUGGCGAAGGCGGCUCACUGGUCCGGUACUGACGCUGAGGUGCGAAAGCGUGGGGAGCAAACAGG
Molecule: ribosomal RNA, 253 nt
Filed under: uncultured bacterium
Lineage: Bacteria
Description: partial 16S ribosomal RNA
Rfam family: Bacterial small subunit ribosomal RNA
Source: RNAcentral